RNAcentral lists this unclassified non-coding RNA (262 nucleotides) under Ascomycota sp. RNAcentral's name for it is "partial contains small subunit ribosomal RNA, internal transcribed spacer 1, and 5.8S ribosomal RNA". The stretch from base 1 to 47 matches the Rfam family "Eukaryotic small subunit ribosomal RNA", at positions 1785 to 1831 of the family's 1831-position model. The record is from RNAcentral. Lineage: Eukaryota; Fungi; Ascomycota.
AAAGUCGUAACAAGGUCUCCGUAGGUGAACCUGCGGAGGGAUCAUUCACAUGAUUACUUUAUAAAACAAACUGUGAACUUUAUUUACUAUUCGUGUUUUUUAUCUUUUUAGAUAAAAACAUUGUCAUUCGAUUGAACAUAAGAUAGUUGGCUUGAUUAAUUUAUUUUAAUCUUUCUCAGCUUUGAUUUUGAUAUUACUAAACAUUUUAUCAUAUCAACCAUAAACAUAGAAACAACUCUAUGCCCUGGAUAUCUUGGUUCUC